RNAcentral lists this small RNA (85 nucleotides) under Sinorhizobium meliloti 2011. RNAcentral's name for it is "putative ncRNA". Lineage: Bacteria; Pseudomonadati; Pseudomonadota; Alphaproteobacteria; Hyphomicrobiales; Rhizobiaceae. The record is from RNAcentral.
UUCUACACCCCGCCGCGACUGACGCUCGUCGAGCACGCCGCGAUGGAUUGCUGCGAGAUAGAGCUUGAUGUCGCGGUGGGCGCGG